GAGUUUGAUCUUGGCUCAGGAUGAACGCUAGCGGCAGGCUUAAUACAUGCAAGUCGUGGGGCAGCAGGGUUGUAGCAAUACAAUCGCUGGCGACCGGCAAACGGGUGCGUAACACGUACGCAACCUUCCCGUUACUGUGGCAUAGCCCAGGGAAACUUGGAUUAAUACCACAUAUUAUAUUGAGGGGGCAUCCUCUUGAUAUCAAAGCUUCGGCGGUAACGGAUGGGCGUGCGGUUGAUUAGGUAGUUGGCGGGGUAACGGCCCACCAAGCCUACGAUCAAUAGCUGAUGUGAGAGCAUGAUCAGCCACACGGGCACUGAGACACGGGCCCGACUCCUACGGGAGGCAGCAGUAAGGAAUAUUGGGCAAUGGACGAAAGUCUGACCCAGCCAUGCCGCGUGAAGGAUUAAGGUCCUCUGGAUUGUAAACUUCUUUUCUCUGGGGCGAAAACCAGCUAUUCUUAGCUAUUUGACAGUACCAGAGGAAUAAGCACCGGCUAACUCCGUGCCAGCC
This 513-nucleotide ribosomal RNA is filed under the name uncultured Sphingobacterium sp. RNAcentral's name for it is "bacterial SSU rRNA". It matches the Rfam family "Bacterial small subunit ribosomal RNA", at positions 9 to 513 of the family's 1533-position model. The record is from RNAcentral. Lineage: Bacteria; Pseudomonadati; Bacteroidota; Sphingobacteriia; Sphingobacteriales; Sphingobacteriaceae.